Small nuclear RNA from Amblyraja radiata (thorny skate), 163 nucleotides. RefSeq annotates it as U1 spliceosomal RNA. The record is from RefSeq and is a predicted model, not a curated record. Lineage: Eukaryota; Metazoa; Chordata; Chondrichthyes; Rajiformes; Rajidae. The transcript has a single exon.
AUAUUUAUCAAUUGAAUAAAGUCUGUUUUGAAAAAAAAAUAAAAAAAAAUGGUUCUCCCAGGACGAGGCUCUCCCAUUGGACUUCGGGUGCGAUGUCCCCAAAUGUGGGAUACUCGACUGCAAAAUUUGUGGUAGUGGGGGACUGCGUUCGCGCUCUCCCCUG